UCUUGGAAGCCACCUUAAAGUCUACCUGCCAUAUACACCAUAUGUGACUGCACACCUCACCUCUUACCUCACGAAAUCACUUGAGGAGGAAUUCUGUGAUGAAAAUAUAAAUUUGCUGCCAGAGACUUGGUCUUGCUGCAUUACCCAGGCUGGUCUUGAACCUCUUGGCUCAAACAAUCCUCCUGCUUCAGCCUCCUGAGUAGCUGGGACUACAGGCUCAUGUCAUGCAUCUGGCAAAGAGCUCACAGCCUAGUGAAGAUGUGUGGGAGACAAUUACUGGAUUCAUCCAGGGCUGGCAUUUUUCCAGCGACACAUUAAUUACAGAUGUUCCAUCAAGUGUCAAGCUAACCUGAACAAUUACAACUUGAAGCAAAGAGCACAGCCCCAAUGACAGCAUCUUCAUCCUUGGAGCUGAGCUGUUUGCAUGAGGAAGGACAAGAAAAUUGCACCAUCUGCCUGGAUGUAGAUGGAAAGACUUGGCUCCUGCAAAACAUGGCAUGAAGAGGGAGGGAGUGCACUUACUUGUUAUUCCAAGCUAUGAUGGCUAUUUUCAUGUUAUGUGUCAUUUGUGGAACAAUCUGAUGUUAUGGUUGGCUCAAAGCUUUUAUGCCUAAUGAUCUGUUUCAAGGAGAAGGAUUGAAAUAAUGAAGGAAGAAAUCCUUAAUCCUUAGUCCUAUGGACUGUCCCCACUCUGGGAAACUAGAGGUCUGUGGUCAGCCAAUCCUGCAGAAAUAAAGUAUGACAGAGAGUAGAGGGUUGAAAGGAGGUUGCAAGAAGGAGGAAGGAUGUGUGGAGGAUAAAGAAUGGUCCCUAGACAGUCUUGCUUCACUUCAUUUCAAAGCAUUUUGCUUGUUUUAUGUAUAAUGUUUGGGGGUUUUAGUUUUACUUAGCAGAGAGAAUAGGGAAAAGUGUACCUCCUUUAUCUUCCCAGAGGCACAAGAAUAGAUGUGAAUGGACAUAAAGCAUAAAUGUAU
RNAcentral lists this long non-coding RNA (974 nucleotides) under Macaca mulatta (Rhesus monkey). RNAcentral's name for it is "lncRNA (ENSMMUG00000049335.1)". Lineage: Eukaryota; Metazoa; Chordata; Mammalia; Primates; Cercopithecidae. The record is from RNAcentral.